RNAcentral lists this ribosomal RNA (443 nucleotides) under uncultured bacterium. Its description in RNAcentral is "partial 16S ribosomal RNA". It matches the Rfam family "Bacterial small subunit ribosomal RNA", at positions 338 to 795 of the family's 1533-position model. The record is from RNAcentral.
CCUACGGGUGGCAGCAGUGGGGAAUAUUGGGCAAUGGGCGCAAGCCUGACCCAGCAACGCCGCGUGAAGGAAGAAGGCUUUCGGGUUGUAAACUUCUUUUCUCAGGGACGAAGCAAGUGACGGUACCUGAGGAAUAAGCCACGGCUAACUACGUGCCAGCAGCCGCGGUAAUACGUAGGUGGCAAGCGUUAUACGGAUUUACUGGGUGUAAAGGGCGGGUAGGCGGGACUGCAAGUCAGAGGUGAAAGCCACGGGCUCAACCUGUGGCCUGCAUUUGAAACUGUAGUUCUUGAGUACUGGAGAGGAAGACGGAAUUCCUGGUGUAGGGGUGAAAUGCGUAGAUAUUAGGAGGAACACCAGUGGCGAAGGCGGUCUGCUGGACAGCAACUGACGCUGAGGAGCGAAAGCGUGGGGAGCAAACAGGAUUAGAUACCCCUGUAGUC